GAUGAACGCUGGCGGCGUGCCUAAUACAUGCAAGUCGAACGCUUUGUGGUUCAACUGAUUUGAAGAGCUUGCUCAGAUAUGACGAUGGACAUUGCAAAGAGUGGCGAACGGGUGAGUAACACGUGGGAAACCUACCUCUUAGCAGGGGAUAACAUUUGGAAACAGAUGCUAAUACCGUAUAACAAUGACAACCGCAUGGUUGUUAUUUAAAAGAUGGUUCUGCUAUCACUAAGAGAUGGUCCCGCGGUGCAUUAGCUAGUUGGUAAGGUAAUGGCUUACCAAGGCGAUGAUGCAUAGCCGAGUUGAGAGACUGAUCGGCCACAAUGGGACUGAGACACGGCCCAUACUCCUACGGGAGGCAGCAGUAGGGAAUCUUCCACAAUGGGCGAAAGCCUGAUGGAGCAACGCCGCGUGUGUGAUGAAGGGUUUCGGCUCGUAAAACACUGUUGUAAGAGAAGAAUGACAUUGAGAGUAACUGUUCAAUGUGUGACGGUAUCUUACCAGAAAGGAACGGCUAAAUACGUGCCAGCAGCCGCGGUAAUACGUAUGUUCCAAGCGUUAUCCGGAUUUAUUGGGCGUAAAGCGAGCGCAGACGGUUAUUUAAGUCUGAAGUGAAAGCCCUCAGCUCAACUGAGGAAUUGCUUUGGAAACUGGAUGACUUGAGUGCAGUAGAGGAAAGUGGAACUCCAUGUGUAGCGGUGAAAUGCGUAGAUAUAUGGAAGAACACCAGUGGCGAAGGCGGCUUUCUGGACUGUAACUGACGUUGAGGCUCGAAAGUGUGGGUAGCAAACAGGAUUAGAUACCCUGGUAGUCCACACCGUAAACGAUGAGUGCUAGGUGUUUGAGGGUUUCCGCCCUUAAGUGCCGCAGCUAACGCAUUAAGCACUCCGCCUGGGGAGUACGACCGCAAGGUUGAAACUCAAAGGAAUUGACGGGGACCCGCACAAGCGGUGGAGCAUGUGGUUUAAUUCGAAACAACGCGAAGAACCUUACCAGGUCUUGACAUCCCUUGACAACUCCAGAGAUGGAGCGUUCCCUUCGGGGACAAGGUGACAGGUGGUGCAUGGUUGUCGUCAGCUCGUGUCGUGAGAUGUUGGGUUAAGUCCCGCAACGAGCGCAACCCUUAUUACUAGUUGCCAGCAUUCAGUUGGGCACUCUAGUGAGACUGCCGGUGACAAACCGGAGGAAGGUGGGGAUGACGUCAAAUCAUCAUGCCCCUUAUGACCUGGGCUACACACGUGCUACAAUGGCGUAUACAACGAGUUGCCAACCCGCGAGGGUGAGCUAAUCUCUUAAAGUACGUCUCAGUUCGGAUUGUAGGCUGCAACUCGCCUACAUGAAGUCGGAAUCGCUAGUAAUCGCGGAUCAGCACGCCGCGGUGAAUACGUUCCCGGGUCUUGUACACACCGCCCGUCACACCAUGAGAGUUUGUAACACCCAAAGCCGGUGGGGUAACCUUCGGGAGCCAGCCGUCUAAGGUGGGACAGAUGAUUAGGGUG
RNAcentral lists this ribosomal RNA (1499 nucleotides) under uncultured bacterium. RNAcentral's name for it is "bacterial SSU rRNA". It matches the Rfam family "Bacterial small subunit ribosomal RNA". The record is from RNAcentral.